Schistocerca gregaria is the source of this 390-nucleotide long non-coding RNA. RefSeq lists it as uncharacterized. Lineage: Eukaryota; Metazoa; Arthropoda; Insecta; Orthoptera; Acrididae. The transcript is spliced from 3 exons. The record is from RefSeq and is a predicted model, not a curated record.
GUGGUCUCCUACAGCACUCGGACACGGCUGACAGGCGACAACUUUCUUCGAGAUGGCCGUCUACACUAUUACGUUGGUGUUCCUGUUGGUGAGCCUGGCGUACGCCGCAGCCGCAGCCGUUGUCAGCACUGGCGUCUCAAGAGGUGAAUCCCUGGAAGGAGCUGACACUUUCGGCUUCGGCUUCGCCGCCUGGCCGUGGGGUUUAUGGCCUUACGGUUUUCCAGGACCAUUCCCAUACCCUUAUCUAGGUUGAUGAGCUGCCCAGGAGUUUCCUGAAUUGGUGUGGAGCUGUAGAUACUAUUCUGAUUUGUAAUGCUAACUACUAUCUUUAUCAGUUAAAGAAAUGUAAGCACAUUUCAAAUAAACGACCUUUAAGGUACCCGACAACAC